AGCGAAACCAUUUUUUUCUAUUCUGUUUUGUUCUGGUUGUUCCAAGACCGUUUUGUCGUGUUCAGUGAAGCAAAAGGUCUUUUGCGUAUGUUCAUCCUUAAUAUCCGUCGUAUCAGCGUUGGCACAAUCAUAUUCAUUCAAUGGAGUCGACGCUGAUCCACAAUUAAUAAACUCUUCACAGCGGCUGCUUGUUUUUACAUCUCCAGCAAUACUUCUGGUUUUGUUUGCUGUGUGGUUAUAACAACGGUCAGACAAAUGCGAUGAUGCACUGUCCGCUUCCACUUGGGCCACGCUACCCGAUGUUGAUGAGGGCUGCUCAGACACAGUGUUUUUCUGCUGUCGAUUUCUAUGGUUUCCGUCAUCAAAGUUGUUUUGCUAGAAACAUUAAAUAAAUAUUUUAUGUUCACCAGUAACUACUCUUGCUGUUGACGAUGGUGUUAUUUGUCCAGGUAAAUCGUUUAGAUUAGCAUGAACGUCAUUUAGGCUUAAGGCGGCAGCGCUUGCAGCGUGGCUCAUAGUAAACCCGGUGGCAG
Drosophila subpulchrella is the source of this 533-nucleotide long non-coding RNA. RefSeq lists it as uncharacterized. The record is from RefSeq and is a predicted model, not a curated record. Lineage: Eukaryota; Metazoa; Arthropoda; Insecta; Diptera; Drosophilidae. The transcript has 3 exons.